Molecule: RNA transcript, 415 nt
Organism: Nomascus leucogenys (northern white-cheeked gibbon)
Lineage: Eukaryota; Metazoa; Chordata; Mammalia; Primates; Hylobatidae
Gene name: guanine nucleotide-binding protein G(I)/G(S)/G(O) subunit gamma-5 pseudogene
Exons: 1
Source: RefSeq, a predicted model, not a curated record
UGGCCCAGCCGACCCACGACGACCCACCAACCCACGAAUCGGCCCGGCAGUCGCGUGCACCAUGUCUGGCUCCUCCAGCAUCGCCGCUAUGAAGAAAGUGGUUCAACAGCUCCGGCUGGAGGCCGGACUCAACCACAUAAAAGUUUCCCAGGCAGCUGCAGACUUGAAACAAUUCUGUCUGCAGAAUGCUCAACAUGACCCUCUGCUGACUAGAGUAUCUUCAAGUACAAAUCCCUUCAGACCCCAGAAAGUCUGUUCCUUUCUGUAGUAAAAUGAAUCUUUCAAAGGUUUCCCAAACCACUCCUUAUGAUCCAGUGAAUAUUCAAGAGAGCUACAUUUGAAGCCUGUACAAAAGCUUAUCCCUGUAACACAUGUGCCAUAAUAUACAAACUUCUACUUUCGUCAGUCCUUAACA